AAGUUGAAAAGCACUUUGAAAAGAGAGUGCAAGAGAACGUGAAACCGACAUAAUGGAAACGGAUGGAGCCGACGUAUCGUGCAUGUAUUCAAUUGCACAGCGUUGUAAGUUGUCGUUUUGGUAUUCCGCAAGGUUAUCGGAUGGCAACAUUGCCGCGUUUGUGUAGUGCAUUUGCAUGCAGAGUGCGCCGAGUGGGUUGGUUUCGCCAUUGGAAGCUUUUAUAGAGGACCAGACCUUUGGGUUUGGAACCCUGUGCUGGCGGAUAAUGGAUGCGGCUGACUUUUGUCUAUUGAUGCUGGUGAAUUCGCGGUCUGGGCUAGUGACUGUGUCGACUCGUGGGUGACGCAUGCGUUGCUCGCUUGUUCGGUAUGGCCAUUGUUCCUUACUGCCCCGCAUCAAACUCGGUGUUCAGUCGGUCACCCAUUUGACCCGUCUUGAAACACGGACCAAGGAGUUUAAGGUGUACGCAAGUCAUUGGGAGUCUUGAAACCCAAAGGCGUAAUGAAAGUGAGACAUUUAGUGUCUGUGAUGUGAACGGUUGUCGUUUCGACGGUGACUGUGCAACAUCGCCCUAUGCCUGGGACUUGUCCUGGCGUGGAGGUUGAGCGUACGCUUUGAGACCCGAAAGAUGGUGAACUAUGCCCGAACAGGAUGAAGCCAGAGGAAACUCUGGUGGAAGUCCGAAGCGGUUCUGACGUGCAAAUCGAUCGUCUGAUUUGGGUAUA
RNAcentral lists this ribosomal RNA (725 nucleotides) under Laimaphelenchus hyrcanus. RNAcentral describes it as "partial large subunit ribosomal RNA". It matches the Rfam family "Eukaryotic large subunit ribosomal RNA", at positions 361 to 919 of the family's 3401-position model. Lineage: Eukaryota; Metazoa; Nematoda; Chromadorea; Rhabditida; Aphelenchoididae. The record is from RNAcentral.